This is an RNA transcript of Raphanus sativus (radish), 941 nucleotides long. RefSeq lists it as uncharacterized. The transcript has 2 exons. The record is from RefSeq and is a predicted model, not a curated record. NCBI's taxonomy places the organism in Eukaryota, Viridiplantae, Streptophyta, Magnoliopsida, Brassicales, Brassicaceae.
UUUUAUGACCCGGCUCUGGAUUUAACCCGAAACGAAAUUGGAGUACGCGCGCGAGCGGGAGAUAUAACGGAAGGCCCAACUAAAAGCCCAUAUUCACAAAGUUAACUCCUCCCCUCUCUCUAUAAAUACCUGAAUCUUUAAAAAAAUACAAACAAACUUUUCGAUCGAGAAACAGAGAGAGAGAGAGAACGUACGUGGAUCGAGAAACAGAGAGAGAGAGAGAAGGUACGUGAAUCACGAACGCGACUCGUCGUCUCUCCACUCACCUCUGAGGCUCUGAACAUGGAAGACAUUGGUAACUUUGUGAGCAUCAUCUGCAUCAACGAGGCAAGAAUCGAAGGCAUUCUUGACAAGAACGAUCUUACGAACGGGAUAAUUGUUGUGAAAAAACGGUAAAAUCUUCACAUGUUUGCUGUUUAAUUAUGGUUUAUUCAUUCUAUUAUCUCAUAUUGAAUCUCUUCUUCCUUCUUCCUUGUCCAGCAAUGGAUUUUGGGACUGAAGGAAGAAAGGCACGAGGUCCUCAAAUCCCACCAGCACUCAACAUCCAGGGAUCUCUAACGAUAAGAUCACGACAGAUCAAGGAAAUGGAGAUCAUUUGUCUUACACCUCAGGAGAGAGACUUCCCGUCUCUUUCUCGGCGCAGGAUUGGAGCAAGGAACAACGUGGGCCCUUCCUACUCUGAGGUCGCCAAGAAGAAGAAGAAUUAGGGUUUUUUUGGUCUAAAUCUAGGUUUGGGAUUUUGAUCAUGUUUAUGUGUUAGAUGCAUGCUUGACUGUUUUAGUUGGGGUUUUUAAGAUUUGUUUGAAGAUGGAGAUACUGAAUGCAUUGUAUUAUUUGAUAAAAGAUGCCACGUUAACUGCUCAAAUAAAAAAGAAAGAUUUAGGGUAACUCAAAUGAUAUGUAGCGCAUGAGUUUAUAAUCUAUGAUAUGCGUUAAUGUUU